This is a long non-coding RNA of Ailuropoda melanoleuca (giant panda), 5754 nucleotides long. Lineage: Eukaryota; Metazoa; Chordata; Mammalia; Carnivora; Ursidae. The record is from Ensembl.
UUCGUUUAUUUUAAAGACAGAGAGCAUAAGCAGGGGGAGGGGCAGAGGGAGACUCCCAAGCAGACUCCCCGCUAAGCGUGCAGCCCCGUCAUGGGCUCGAUCCCACGACACAGAGAUCGUGACCCAAGCCGAAGUCAUGAAUCAGAGGCCCAAUUGACCAAGCCACCCAGGCACUCCCUUCCAUACCUUCUUGAUUGAUCUGUUUAUAUCUGUGCCUGACCCUCCAGCCAGACUGGAAAGGAAGGGGCCACGUUUGUAUGUUCAGCUCCUACAAAGGUCUGUGAGCACCUUCCCUAGGCUGGGCGCCGCAGUACGGUCCCCAGCACCGACAGGUGACCUCCUCCCUGUGCCGGGCAGGUAAGCAGUGCUGGUGGUCCGGUUUUCAGAAGCGUCUUUGUAGCAGCCGCCUGUACGUGGGCCUCCUGAAAGUACUUGUCUGGUGACGCCGGCGAACGCAGGGGAGAGGCGGGUGCUGCUGGCGGUUCGCGUGUACCUCUGCGUGCGGGGCGUGAUGCCUGGAGCCCCAUCAGCUGUGCCUCAUCAGACCCCCGCGUGCGGAGGCACACCGGCUCGCGGCUUCUCCGCGGAAGCGGGAGCACAGGGCGGGCCAAGCAGGCGUGCGGCGGAGACCAGGCACACCUGCGGGGACCGGGCACACCGGCGGGGACCGGCGGGGAACUCGGCCCAGGCGCAAAGCCCCCUGAGAAGUUAGCAAAACACUGACCCACAAAUAAGUACUAGAAAAGAAAGCGAGGUUCAUAACCAAGUCACCAAAGGGAGGCGUUUGCAUUGUUCAUUUUGAUGUGCUGAUAAACCCACAGCCCUGAAGGAAACACCUAUCAACACCUCUGUUUCUUCAGCCAGCGGUCUGAUGUUGCUUACUUCUGAUGACGUUCUCAUUCUUCCCAUGCCACCGGAUAUUUCAAAGAAAAAUUGCAUAUUCUUACUUAUUCGUUAAAUAUUUUUCUUUUUAAAUUUACAAAAAUGCUAAAUGAGUAAGUUCAAGUGGAUGAGACCUUAUACACACACACUCCCUCUUUCUCAAGCCCCUAUGUGCGUAUAUUACUUUUUCCAGACAGUUCGGAUUGUUUUUCCCUUCUCUGACAUACUCCCUGGUGGUCACUUGCAGGCAAGCCCUUUCUUGAGCCAUGGGGGAGUGACUCGUGUCAGAAACAGAAUUGCAGCCACAAAAGGACCUUCCAUUGUGCCAGCGAGUGGAGCAUUGGUUUGUCUUGAAAUGGGAGCAGAUCGAGGGCAACUCCAAGCUGCGGCACGUGGGCAGCAACCUGUGCCUGGACAGCCGCACGGCCAAGAACGGGGGCCUGAGCGUGGAGGUGUGCGGCCCAGCCCUGUCCCAGCAGUGGAAGUUCACGCUCAACCUGCAGCAGUAGGAGACCCCGCGAGGCCACGCCGGCCCGGCCCCCACGCUGGUCGGCUGAGUUUGGUGAUCACGUUAUCGAUUAUGUUUCUUGAACCUUCUGCGAAACUAUAUACCUCAGUAUUCCAUCAUGGUCUGAACGUCGGAGAACUUGUGCGAGGCACGGGGCCUGGGUGGACAGCGAAGAGGCCAGGAAAGAGAACCGCGCUCCUCGUCCCACAGGAGGCGGCCAGGCCCCCUUUCCGAGGCCACGGCCGCCUGCGCCCCCAGCGACCCCUGGGACGGCCGAGUCGCGGCCCCAACGCGGACCAGUGGGGGGGCAGGAAGGGCGGAAGGGGUGUCGUUGCUAUGUCACCGCGAGGAGAACUCUCUGGAAAUCUCCAUUUUUGAUCCCAUCGAAAUCACGUCUGGUUUCCACAACACCAAACCCAGUCAUUUUGCAGGUUUACGUCGUAUUCCCCUGUCCCCGCUCCUCUGUUCCCAGCUGUCUUCCCAGCACAGACCCCCUCUUCCACGUGAUGUUCUUGCUCUAUUUGAAUAUGAACUUUUCUAUGGUGGGACACUAAAUAUAAAUAUAUAUAAAGAGAGAAUGUACGGUCAGUUCCCUAUGGUUUCUGUAGGUUGUCCUCAUCUUGUCAAUUCCCCACAAAGCAGUUAGUUCACGGCCGUAAGGAAGAGGGACGGGGCCCUUCGGGGCCGGGCCUCCAUUGCCCCCUGGACCCUGUCGGUGAGCAGGUGCUACGGGGGCUGCUGGGGGCUUCCCUGCGGCCAAGCCCCAGGAGGCGAGCGGCGCCAGGGUCCCCCGACUCCGGCCUCGGCCUGGGCCCCUCCGCUGGCUUCAGCUUGGGACUCGCUGCUAAGUGUCAGACCCACCUGCUGUGCCCUUGGUAUCUGGAAACCCGGAUGGGUGACUGACUUUGACAAACGUUACUUUGGGUAUUUUUUAAUUAUUUUUUUUUCUCUUAGGGAAAAAAACAAAAAACAAAAACCCAGCCUCACAGCUCUCAGUAGGCGAUGGUAGGAAAGCUGUCCUGGGCUGGCAUUGGGCGAAUAGUGAGUGUCCCGUGAGCUGGUCCCUGGGCUCUGGAAUCCGGCCUGCCCACACUGUCCCUCCCAGGCCCAGGUGCCCGCUUUUUGGUCAUGGGGCAUUGGGUCAAGAAUUAGGAGAGGUGGAAAUCAUCCAGUGCCCCAUCUGUUGACAUGGAGCAUUGCGGGCACGAAACAGGAGGCGUGUGCGUUAGGAAGCAGAUGUCAGUAUAACCACAAGCCAGUUAGGAAAUAGAAGUCGUGACAGGAAGAGAUGCCCAGGAAUGUCCCUGCAGAGCCCCCCUUGCCUUUGCAGUGGCCCCACGUGCUGUGCCACGGCAGCCCCCAGCCCCCUACAGAAUGGCCCCUCGGUCAUUCUCGUGGCCACGCCCUCCUUCCUUCUCCCCUCCGGAACACCUGCCGGGUCUCAGAGAGGCUGGCCCUUCCCAGGCCACCCACGGCUGCCGCGUGGUGGGACGUGCAUCAGAAAUGCACAUCCUCAGGCCCCUUCGGGGCGGGCCUGGGAGGUCACAGAGGGAGAAGUGGCCACUGAAGAUUCUGCUGGGUUGACAUUCUGGGAAGUGCCACUCUCUUCCCCGCCCCCCUUUUUUUCUAGGAAAGGGGACACUAUUGGUCUUUCUUCCUUCACUGCAAAAGACCCACAUGUGUUUGCUCCAGGUCACCAGGGUCAGGCAUAGAGGCGUGGCUAAGGGACUGUCCUCUGCCCCGCAACUAGAUGUCCCUUCUGUGGACAGGGAGGCCAUAGCUGGAUCACCUCAGCACACGUGUGUCUUCAGGGGCUGGUCUUGACUACAGGGAGGCCUCGGGGAGAGGGCCAGUUACCUGUGCAAGGCUGUUGAUUGCAGGUGGGGCAGGAACCAGACUCAGCCCGAGCCUCUGGGUCCCAUCUUAGACCCUGUCACCUGUGAGCCAUUGCCAGUGUUCGCAAAAAAUACCCCAUGGCUAGCAAACAGAUUUGGCUUUGAGGUAAAGCAAAUUCGAGUCAGGUCCUUGACGAAUCCUUCCCCCACACACCCCCAGCCCACCCAGUAUUCUCAUGGACCUUGUGGCAUCAGAACAGGCCCACCAGCCCCUUCUGGGGUCGUGCCGUCCCUGAGUGGCAGAGGUGGGGCUGGGAGGGCUCCCUGGAGGCGAGUUAUGUUUACAAGACAACAGCGUGCCAAGGUGACUUCCUGUGGUGGCAUUACUUCUAGUCAUCGGGCGACCCCACCCUCUCCUGUUUCUAUAAGUACACACUCUUUCCCGAGAGCCCUUUGAGCACAGCCUGGUGAAGGUAGUUGUCCUGUCUGUGGCGGUCUUUCCCACGUCGUCAUCAAAGCUAAAAUGAUGGUCUCUGUGAGUAUGUUUUGCAAAUUCAAAAUAUAGUUUGGUAAUUUUUUUUCCAGUUGAUUUUUAAGAAGAACUGCUGUACAGAGCUUGUACUUCUUCCAUUUUAUAGAUGGAAACCAUCCUUGAAAAUUGUUUAACUUAAAUAAAGAGAAGAUACUUUAUAGAUAUCGCGCUCUGGCGGUGGCUGCCAUCAUUCUUGUCCUUCACUGGAGGUUGGUGACAAGCGUUGGGGGACCGGGGAGACAGUCUGUCCACUCUGGGGGCCCUGCUCAGUGACCACUUCUUUUUUCUUUUUUUUUUUUUUAAGAUUUUAUUUAUUUAUUUGACAGACAUCAGUGACCAUUUCUUAUCACACUUUGAAAAAGUGUUCACUUUCAGCUGCAGUGCCCUCAUGCUGUGUGUCCUUAUUUGUAACACUAACCAUUAUCAUUUGUGCAGUGUUUCUGAUGGGCCAGGCACUGAGCCAAGCCCUGAACGUGUUCUCCUCGUCUGCUCACCCCGCUCGCCGUAACUUGUGAGACAGUGCCAUGGGCUGCCUUUCACAGCUGGCCCGAGAGGCUGCUGCUAGAAGCCCUGAACCUCCUCAAGGUCACGGGCUAACCUGCUCAAGGUCACGCCACUCCUGAGUCCGCCCUGGGUGCUCAGAACCUGCACACCAAACUGCUGUGGGGGUGGGGAGGCAAAUAUUUUCACAGCUUUUAUGGUAUUUAAAAUCCAGAUACUUGUUUACCAGUUAUCGGAGGCUCCCCAGUGCCAUCCGAGGCCGGCUGAGGGCCUUCCCCAUCAUCCUCAGCCUUGUAACAUGCCUACCUUCGAAAAACCCUGCAGGUGUAUCAAGAAAACACUGCCAUGGCCUGUUCUUUAUCUGGCAGUUUGGAUGGGGAUUGGGCGCUGGGAGGGGGAUACUGAACGGGCUGGCCCAGAUGAGGCUUUUCCAAUGUUCCAGAGACCACAUUCCUGUGUCCUCUUUCCCCAUUAUCUGAGACGACCAAAAACCCGGUUCUCUUGCCAUCUGAGAAACAGAGAGCUCUUAGCAUAAUUGUGCAGUGUCCCUCAGAGUCCUUUAGAAAUUGUGUGUGUGUGUGUGUGUGUGUGUGUGUUUCCUGCAUUGGCGUCAGGGAAGAGUUUAUUCAUUCGGUAUUUAUUGAGAAACUGUGUGGUCCUGACCAUCCCGAAGACCUAGCAGGGGAGGAAAGGUUCAAGGCCAAGCAACGGGACAGGGUGCUGUGCAGCUCCGAGUGCGGGCUUCGCAGAGACGCAGCUCGGUAGUGGAGUCGGGUGUGGAAGGAGUUUCGGCUGCUUCAGGGGGACGGGAGCUCUCGGAGAGGAUCAGAUUUGCAACAUUUUUUAUAACAAAGUUUGUAACCUGACUCAGCAGUACCCACCACCCUUUUAAAAAAUAUUCAGCCAAGAAAAAUAAAAUCUCUUCUCAUGCUCUUUUCUGUCCAUGGACCUACCUAAAAGAAAAAAAGAAAAUUCUCUUUUGAGACCAAUUUAUUGCCAUUCCUAACCAGUUUACCAGUAAUACAACGUGUAGGUAUUUGAUUUUCUCUAUUAUACGAGCUGCAAAUGAUACACAUCGGUUCCAAAAUAACUGUAGGACUGGAGGGUCCCAAAGCAGUAAUGAGAGAUGGCUUGGCAGCCCCUGCCUGAACCCCUGGGGGCCAGGACCCAGGGUGCCAGCGCUGGGACAGGGCUGCAGAACAGACCACUGUGGGCCUCACCCCAAGUUACCCCUGCGGGAGAGCCAGACUUUGAACCAGGCCUUGAAUGCAGUUAUGAGAGCAAAGACUGCCUCAAAAAGGCACAGGCCUCCUCGGUGCUGCGUGGAGAACUGUCUGGGGGAGGGGGUCACCAUCCGAGGCUGACACGUGAGACCUCAGCGGGCCAGGCUCCGCUGGCGAAUUUACAGAAAUGAGCUGUCAUGUUGCUCUCGAACUGCAGAAGAUUCUCUGUUGGAGCACUUGGAGUUGAGCGUGAGAAAUCUCAAUUACGUGCAG